GAUGAACGCUGGCGGCGUGCCUAAUACAUGCAAGUCGAGCGAACAGACGAGGAGCUUGCUCCUCUGACGUUAGCGGCGGACGGGUGAGUAACACGUGGAUAACCUCCCUAUAAGACUGGGAUAACUUCGGGAAACCGGAGCUAAUACCGGAUAAUAUAUUGAACCGCAUGGUUCAAUAGUGAAAGACGGUUUUGCUGUCACUUAUAGCUGGAUCCGCGCCGCAUUAGCUAGUUGGUAAGGUAACGGCUUACCAAGGCAACGAUGCGUAGCCGACCUGAGAGGGUGAUCGGCCACACUGGAACUGAGACACGGUCCAGACUCCUACGGGAGGCAGCAGUAGGGAAUCUUGCGCAAUGGGCGAAAGCCUGACGGAGCAACGCCGCGUGAGUGAUGAAGGUCUUCGGAUCGUAAAACUCUGUUAUUAGGGAAGAACAAAUGUGUAAGUAACUAUGCACGUCUUGACGGUACCUAAUCAGAAAGCCACGGCUAACUACGUG
This 497-nucleotide ribosomal RNA is filed under the name uncultured bacterium. Its description in RNAcentral is "partial 16S ribosomal RNA". It matches the Rfam family "Bacterial small subunit ribosomal RNA", at positions 28 to 507 of the family's 1533-position model. The record is from RNAcentral.